GGCCACGUGGCGGAGUGGUUACGCAGCGGACUGCAAAUCCGCGUACGGGGGUUCGAUUCCCUCCGUGGCCUCCA
Molecule: transfer RNA, 74 nt
Filed under: Ancylobacter novellus
Lineage: Bacteria; Pseudomonadati; Pseudomonadota; Alphaproteobacteria; Hyphomicrobiales; Xanthobacteraceae
Also listed under: 26 other names
Description: Starkeya novella tRNA-Cys
Rfam family: tRNA
About the family: Transfer RNA (tRNA) molecules are approximately 80 nucleotides in length. Their secondary structure includes four short double-helical elements and three loops (D, anti-codon, and T loops).
Source: RNAcentral